AGUGAACGCUGGCGGUAGGCCUAACACAUGCAAGUCGAACGGCAGCACAGGAGAGCUUGCUCUCAGGGUGGCGAGUGGCGGACGGGUGAGGAAUACAUAGGAAUCUACUUUUUCGUGGGGGAUAACGUAGGUAAACUUACGCUAAUACAGCAUACGACCUACGGCUGAAAGCAGGGGAUCUUCGGACCUUGCGCGAUUGAAUUAGCCGAUGUCGGAUUAGCUAGUUGGCGGGGUAAAGGCCCACCAAGGCGACGAUCCGUAGCUGGUCUGAGAGGAUGAUCAGCCACACUGGAACUGAGACACGGUCCAGACUCCUACGGGAGGCAGCAGUGGGGAAUAUUGGACAAUGGGCGCAAGCCUGAUCCAGCCAUACCGCGUGGGUGAAGAAGGCCUUCGGGUUGUAAAGCCCUUUUGUUGGGAAAGAAAUCCAGCUGGCUAAUACCCGGUUGGGAUGACGGUACCCAAAGAAUAAGCACCGGCUAACUACGUGCCAGCCGCCGCCGUAA
This 506-nucleotide ribosomal RNA is filed under the name uncultured bacterium. RNAcentral describes it as "partial 16S ribosomal RNA". It matches the Rfam family "Bacterial small subunit ribosomal RNA", at positions 29 to 523 of the family's 1533-position model. The record is from RNAcentral.